Molecule: ribosomal RNA, 524 nt
Filed under: Cladosporium sp. NA-X-9
Lineage: Eukaryota; Fungi; Ascomycota; Dothideomycetes; Cladosporiales; Cladosporiaceae
Description: eukaryotic LSU rRNA
Rfam family: 5.8S ribosomal RNA (bases 172-325)
Source: RNAcentral
CUGCGGAGGGACAUUACAAGAACGCCCGGGCUUCGGCCUGGUUAUUCAUAACCCUUUGUUGUCCGACUCUGUUGCCUCCGGGGCGACCCUGCCUUCGGGCGGGGGCUCCGGGUGGACACUUCAAACUCUUGCGUAACUUUGCAGUCUGAGUAAACUUAAUUAAUAAAUUAAAACUUUUAACAACGGAUCUCUUGGUUCUGGCAUCGAUGAAGAACGCAGCGAAAUGCGAUAAGUAAUGUGAAUUGCAGAAUUCAGUGAAUCAUCGAAUCUUUGAACGCACAUUGCGCCCCCUGGUAUUCCGGGGGGCAUGCCUGUUCGAGCGUCAUUUCACCACUCAAGCCUCGCUUGGUAUUGGGCAACGCGGUCCGCCGCGUGCCUCAAAUCGUCCGGCUGGGUCUUCUGUCCCCUAAGCGUUGUGGAAACUAUUCGCUAAAGGGUGUUCGGGAGGCUACGCCGUAAAACAACCCCAUUUCUAAGGUUGACCUCGGAUCAGGUAGGGAUACCCGCUGAACUUAAGCAUAUCA